UAUUCUAAUGAAUACCUCUCAGGGCCUUUUAUAAGACCCAGUGAACAAUUUUUGCAGACCCUCUUCCUUUGGUUGAGGGUG
This 81-nucleotide small nuclear RNA is filed under the name Caenorhabditis brenneri. RNAcentral's name for it is "sRNA CBN33920". It matches the Rfam family "SmY spliceosomal RNA". The record is from Rfam by way of RNAcentral. Lineage: Eukaryota; Metazoa; Nematoda; Chromadorea; Rhabditida; Rhabditidae.